Molecule: long non-coding RNA, 640 nt
Organism: Branchiostoma floridae (Florida lancelet)
Lineage: Eukaryota; Metazoa; Chordata; Leptocardii; Amphioxiformes; Branchiostomatidae
Exons: 2
Source: RefSeq, a predicted model, not a curated record
GGUUGUAUAGGAAUACAAUACCAGACUCAAUAUUCAACUAUGGAUCUCCUUAUGGGGGACCUCCAUGCCUUCGUUCUGCUGUACCAUACUAUGCAGAUGUGCAUUUCAUUGCUAUUCCCAGUAGGGCUGGAUACCUUUUGGCUUGAUCAGGUUCAGAUUAGUGUACUUUUUAUGCCUUUUUGUCAGUGACUACCAAGCAGAGAGGAGAUUAAAAGCAGUUUUAUACUUAUUCAGAGAAAAUCCUACACGUAAUUCACUGCACACAAGGCUAUAAUGUUACAUGCAAAUCAAACAACGCCAUCUAGCGAGCAAGGUUAAACUGCACUCUCGAGAGAGUUGAGGCGAGAACUGGCGAGAACUCGCUAUGUUUUGAGUAGAGAAUCCAAGAUGGCGGCCUGUUUGUCGCCGACCGCUGAAUUUUUUUCCUGCAAGACCGCACAAAUCGCCUCAAAGCUGGAAAAAUGGAUUGAAUACACGUACAGAAGAAGAAAGAAAUGUUGUUUGUCCCAUGGUAAUUUUUUCUGGAUGCGGAUUCUUCAUUUUGAGUGAAAAUUUACCGGAAGAAUUGAGGAAUUUUCCACUCGAUUCCUCGUCGGUCGGCCUCAUGCCAUGGUAAAAUUUGAUGAUUUUUCGUAGCACA